Long non-coding RNA from Carassius auratus (goldfish), 876 nucleotides. RefSeq lists it as uncharacterized. The record is from RefSeq and is a predicted model, not a curated record. Lineage: Eukaryota; Metazoa; Chordata; Actinopteri; Cypriniformes; Cyprinidae. The transcript is spliced from 2 exons.
AAGUAGGUAAUCUCCCUCCCCUGGUACUUAGAAACGGCCUAUCAGGGCUCAGUCAUUGCUUUAUAAAGGCUGUGAUUAGGCUACCUGGGAUGCGUCAUUGUUGGCCCCGCCCAUCCGGUACGUGUGCGCUUCCGCCUAACAAAGCUGGAGUCGCCUUUUUGCAGCUUGAAUAGCCCAUUAUUCCUGGCUUCGCUGUGGUUUUCAGGCUGUUCUUGCCACCUGGUUAGACUGAUUUCAUUCAAGUAAUCUUCUGAGACUUGUGCUGUGAGCAACUGUAUGAGGCCCCUGAGUCGGGUGGCUAGCUGUCCUAGUAUCCUGGUGGUGGUGGUGUUUGGAGCACGGAGUGUGGAUUGUCGUUUGUAGUCACUCACCUCACUGUGUGUGUGUGUGUGCUUUACGAAUAGCCACUUUUGCAGCUAGCCUACCCUGCUAGGGGUAAGCCUUCGUAAAACUGAUUAAUGUAUGCCUGGUCGAAUCAUAUCUUUGCCUGAUCUUCUAAAAGGUGUAUUUUCUACUUUGUGAAUUUAAUAAAUAUUUUAUACGCUAGUGCCUCUGUCUCUGCCUCCUAUGGUAACGAACCUGUGUGUCUAAAUUCCAUCAAGUAUUUAGUUCCCCUCACUUUAGAGGGGUGGCGUAGUCGGUAGUUAUAUCAUAAUUAAUUAACUUCAAGUUGCCACGCCACAUUCUGGCGUAGUCGGCAGGGUACCGUGUUUGGCGGAGACACUGGUAUUAGUGGUUGUAUUUUUUGUUUGUUUUUCUUUUUCUUUUAUUUUUCUGUUGCAGUGAGAUUGGUAAAGAGUAGCAGCAAAACAGCAGCGCACGUCUGGUGGAUUCUGAUUCUUUGUGAGUCUACUCCCUCUUGUUGGUAAGUGUUAC